AUACUUACCUGGCAGGGGAGACACCUUGAUCAUGAAGGAGGUUUACCCAGGGUGGGUCUCAUCCAUUGCACUGCGGGUGUGCUGACCCCUGUGAUUUCCCCAAAUGCGGGAAACUCAGCUGCAUAAUUUGUGGGAAUUAUGCAGUCUGCUUUUAAACUUCUGUUUC
Hemicordylus capensis (graceful crag lizard) is the source of this 166-nucleotide small nuclear RNA. RefSeq annotates it as U1 spliceosomal RNA. The transcript has a single exon. Lineage: Eukaryota; Metazoa; Chordata; Lepidosauria; Squamata; Cordylidae. The record is from RefSeq and is a predicted model, not a curated record.